Molecule: long non-coding RNA, 316 nt
Filed under: Nicotiana benthamiana
Lineage: Eukaryota; Viridiplantae; Streptophyta; Magnoliopsida; Solanales; Solanaceae
Description: long non-coding RNA (NBEN_LNC036865)
Source: RNAcentral
AGGUGAUGGGUAUGGUGUGGGGGGUGGGGAUGAUGGUGGAGGUUGAGGUUGUUGAAUGAUGAUGUUGAGAGGUGGGGGGCAUUAUGGGGAGGGGGUGGAUUGGUUGGUGGUGGGGUGGUGAUGGGGCAUUGAAUUUUGGCCAGUUGUUUGCUAGAGUGGGUGGGGAUAAUGAUAUGAAUGAUGAAUUGAUGACACACAAAUGCUAACUUGCACAAAGGGAUGUAUACAGCUAAUCCUACACCUACUCCACCAUUCCCCCAACCCACCCUCCACCAUAGGUAGUGAAUCCCCACCCACCCCACUACCCCCACUUAAC